Molecule: long non-coding RNA, 930 nt
Organism: Rosa rugosa (rugosa rose)
Lineage: Eukaryota; Viridiplantae; Streptophyta; Magnoliopsida; Rosales; Rosaceae
Exons: 5
Source: RefSeq, a predicted model, not a curated record
UCUAAUUCGAUCAAUAAUUCUUGGCCACAGGGCUACUCUACUGUGCAGUGUGCACAUCCAUGUUUUUCUCAUUGUAGACCAAUAAUUGAACUCCAAUUCCUCUUACUCAUCUCCUUUUGGUUUUCUUACAACUUUCUCAUUGUUCUCCAUGGAAGAAGGGCUACUAACUCUGUCAGGGUCAAAUGGAGCUUCAAGUGAUUGCAGUGCCGUCAUAACUCCAGGAGGGUUCUCCUCCUCGGCCACCCCCGUUGUCGUUCUGAGCGCAUUGGUGGCUCUUUGUGGUUCCUUUGGCUAUGGCUGUCAGGCUGUGCUGCAAGUUACUCUCAAAGUAGGAUAUUCAUCCUCUGCUGAGUCAGGAAUUUUGGAAGACUUGGGCCUUACUAUUGCAGCAUCCCAAUGCAGUAUCUAGUUAUGCAAGUUCGAUAUUUGUAGAUGCGGGUUUUUCAACUAGUGUUGGGACUAUAUCAAUUGCUCUUAUUGGGAUUCCUGGUGUUGUCUUGAGUGUGCUCUUAACAGACAAAGUUGGAAGACGACCACUUCUAAUGGUGAGAGGGGAGAACUUUAUCCCAACUAUAUGGUGUUGAAUAUCAUCAAGUUCCUACUGAGGUGACUGAAUGUUUGCAGGCAUUCAGUAAGGUUUGAUAAUAACAUACCAUUGGAUAGUAACAUACAGCUUUAUAAGUUUGCAUUCAGUAAUGAGAGGCUAGGCAUUCAGUAAUGUUUGCAGGCAUAAGUUGGUCCUCUGCUUGGAUAGUAACAUACAGCUUCAAUUUCAUGAUGGAAUGGAGCUCAGCAAGCACAUUUUUCUUCUUCUCAGCCAUUAGCGGGUUAACAGUUCUGUUCGUAGCAAUGCUAGUGCCAGAAACUAAAGGGCGAACUCUAGAAGAAAUGCAAGCAUCAAUUGCCCAUUUUCUCUAAAAAGAUGACCUC